This 596-nucleotide long non-coding RNA is filed under the name Elaeis guineensis (African oil palm). Its description in RNAcentral is "long non-coding RNA (EGUI_LNC054541)". The record is from RNAcentral. Lineage: Eukaryota; Viridiplantae; Streptophyta; Magnoliopsida; Arecales; Arecaceae.
AUAAAUCAUCUCAUAAUUAAAGAAAAAUAGAGAAGGAAGGGAAGAGAGAGAAGGAACAAUCUUUAUAUAUAUAUAGAGGGAUCAGUCGCUAGAGAGUGUGGACGAAGUGAAGAAAGUAUACAUCUAGGGUCUCAAAAGGAAGGUAGUGGAGGCGGAUUGAGUGAGGUGGAUCAAGAGAGGGAAGAGAGAGGAGAACAUGGAUUUUUUAGGGUUUGGGUUUUUUUGAGUUUGGGGCGGUGGAUCGAGGGAGGAAGAAAUAUGGUUAGGAGGGGAAAGAAGAGGAUUUUUCAAGAGGUCAGAGGUCAGGAGGAUGGAAAGCAAGGGAAGGGACCUAGAUCAAGAGAGGAAGAAGGGUGGAGAGGAUGCAUUUUUUAGGGUUAAGGUUUUUUGGAGUUGAGAGGACCGGACCGAGGGAAGAGCAAAUAGGGUCAAGGAGGGGAAAAAAGCCAUCUUCUCACUAGGGCAAAGGUGAGGAGAAUGGGGAAGAAGAGAGGGGAGUUGGAGCAAGGAAGGAAGAAGCAUGAAGAGUGGAUAGAUUUUAGGGUUAGGAUUUUAUCGGGUUGGGGGUGGUGGAGCGAGAGUAGAGACAAAAAGGG